AACGAACGCUGGCGGCAUGCCUAACACAUGCAAGUCGAACGAGAUCUUCGGGUCUAGUGGCGCACGGGUGCGUAACGCGUGGGAAUCUGCCCUUUGGUUCGGAAUAACAGUUGGAAACGACUGCUAAUACCGGAUGAUGACGAAAGUCCAAAGAUUUAUCGCCAGAGGAUGAGCCCGCGUAGGAUUAGCUAGUUGGUGUGGUAAAGGCGCACCAAGGCGACGAUCCUUAGCUGGUCUGAGAGGAUGAUCAGCCACACUGGGACUGAGACACGGCCCAGACUCCUGCGGGAGGCAGCAGUGGGGAAUAUUGGACAAUGGGCGAAAGCCUGAUCCAGCAAUGCCGCGUGAGUGAUGAAGGCCUUAGGGUUGUAAAGCUCUUUUACCCGGGAUGAUAAUGACAGUACCGGGAGAAUAAGCUCCGGCUAACUCCGUGCCAGCAGCCGCGGUAA
RNAcentral lists this ribosomal RNA (449 nucleotides) under uncultured bacterium. Its description in RNAcentral is "partial 16S ribosomal RNA". It matches the Rfam family "Bacterial small subunit ribosomal RNA", at positions 29 to 523 of the family's 1533-position model. The record is from RNAcentral.